AUGAGUGGGUAUUGUCGUGGGCUGCAAUGUGCGGGGCUGUUUGUUACGCAGUCACAGGUAACCGAUACAGUUGGGAAGAUUCAAUGGUGGAGCCCAGGGUGUGGGUGGCUGGAGGGCAGGGGGAGGGGAGGGCAGAGGCUGGGCAGGUCCGAGUCAUUGCCCAGGCCCUGCGUGGUGAGGACACCGUUGCCAGCAGGCCCAGCUCCUGAGCCACAGGCGCCUGCCUUUGUGCCCCCCACUAUAGGCCAGGCGGCCACGCCCUGGGGCACGAGGCUCUCAGCUGAGAGCAGUCGGGAGGCAGAGCGGCUGAAACACAGAGGGGGCGAGUCCCCGAAAGAGAAGCGGGCAGGAGGAGGGCAGGCAAGCCCCGGACGAGGUCAUCCCCCCAGGGAUGCAGCAGGAACGCCACGGGAGGAGCCGAGCUCACGCCAGGAGGAGGUCCUCCCUCCGCACCCAGCACCUCCUUCUCUGGGGCCCCGUCUGGCACCUCUGUCCCUGCCCAUGUGGGACAGGCCCCCCGAGAGCGCGGAGAGGAGAGCAGCCUCCUCCCCUGGGUCCCUGUCGCCCCUGCUGCAGAAGGGCCGUCCCCAGCACCGCACCCGGGCCCGGGCCCCAGGCAGGGCACUGACCACACUUGCCAGCCCCCGGAGCCCUCCUGGCUAUAGGAAGCUGCUCCCUUCCCCCCUGCACACCCCCACCCAGUGCUUCCAAGAGCCCCAAGCAGGAGGCGCCCUAGGCGUGGGGCGGAAAGGCAGCUCGCAUGAGUUCUGGGGGAGCCCCUCGGGUCUGGGACGGGGUGCAGGCCGAAGUGAAGCUCAUGGCUCACCUGGGCUGGAACCAGACAGAAGGAGGGUGGGGGAAGGAGACGGGCCUCUUGCAGCCGGAGCCACCAUGAGACCCAGGGCACCCGCCACGUGGCAAUCCUGUGAGCAGAGCCCCGGAGGGAUCCCCGAGCGGGGAAUUUCCCCCCGAAUAAGGAAGUGUGUGCAGGGACACGAGGAGGGGAUGUGGUGGCCAGCCGAAGGCGCGACAUGCUGGGGCCGUCACCUGGCCCAUGGCAACACCCGCCCGAAGCAGCGGGUUCGUUUUUUCUUGGAUGUUUCUCUGGGUCAUGUCCUUCCGCUCCCUCCCAUCACCCACCUCGGGCAGGUGGCUCUGGCCCGCAGUCCAGGCCUUGCAGAGCCAGCCGCAGCGUUGGAUUCGGGGUGGCAUGUAGGGCGAUGUCAGGCCAAUCCCCCAACACGCACCUGA
This 1251-nucleotide long non-coding RNA is filed under the name Canis lupus familiaris (dog). Its description in RNAcentral is "lncRNA (ENSCAFG00040014880.1)". Lineage: Eukaryota; Metazoa; Chordata; Mammalia; Carnivora; Canidae. The record is from RNAcentral.